Molecule: long non-coding RNA, 872 nt
Filed under: Pelusios castaneus (West African mud turtle)
Lineage: Eukaryota; Metazoa; Chordata; Testudines; Pelomedusidae
Description: lncRNA (ENSPCEG00000001175.1)
Source: RNAcentral
CUCUUCCACCGCCCCGAGGAAGGGGGUGAACCCAUCUUCCUCCUCCCUUCCACCAUGAUUGUGAGGUAGUGGGGCCUUGGUGUGUGGUGGAGACUGGCUGGCUCCUCCCCGUGUCUGCUGUGGUGGUGAGGGACACAGGCUGCUGAGGUCUCUGUUGUGGGACCCUAUCCCCUGACACUUCCCAAGCGUGGUUUUAAUGAGGAGUGCUGGGGCUGCCCUGAGAUGUGAUAUUUCAUCAUUGUGUGAUUAGUUUGUUCAAGAAAAGAAGAACACCUAUGUUGGCCAGAAGGCACCAGUUCUCUAACAAACCCAAAUAAACUGUCCAGCCCGAGGGGAAACUGAGGCAGUGGCUGCAUCCUAAUGCCAGAGUAGUUCUUCAUUUAACCUCCCCCCAAACAAGGAGAAUUCUGAUACAAAAAGCCUGCAGCACAUUCAUCACCCUACCCAAAGGGUGGCGGGGGGAGAGAAUCAUCAGAGAACUGUUACAGCUCCCUGCACCUAAGCAGUUUAGCCCUGGUAAAAGUUAGAGCUGUGGAUUAUCUGCUCCAGCGUAUGUCACUGGCAUUGGGUUCCUCAAGGAUCUUGCACCAGUGAAGAACCAGGAAUAGUCAUGCUCUGGAUGAGCAAAGUGGACUUGAUGGACUGGAGAAUGCAAACUCUAAAAGUCACUUCCUCUCGCCUUUAUAAUUCAAUACAUAUGCUUGUACCCCAUUAGAAACAGCAACCUGAACUCUGACCACGUCUAAGAAGUUUGUAUACCAAUAAAUGUGUUCUUCAUGUUUGGUUCAGUCCAACGGCUGCUGAAGUUGGUGGAAAGAUUCCUGUUAUCUUCCAUCAGAUUUGGAGGUCAGGUUGUUGAAUUUUAGUAAACC